Molecule: ribosomal RNA, 279 nt
Filed under: uncultured bacterium
Lineage: Bacteria
Description: partial 16S ribosomal RNA
Rfam family: Bacterial small subunit ribosomal RNA
Source: RNAcentral
UGCCAGCAGCCGCGGUAAUACGAAGGGACCUAGCGUAGUUCGGAAUUACUGGGCUUAAAGAGUUCGUAGGCGGUUAAAAAAGUUGGUGGUGAAAUCCCAGCGCUUAACUCUGGAACUGCCAUCAAAACUUUUUAGCUAGAGUAUGAUAGAGGAAAGCAGAAUUUCUAGUGUAGAGGUGAAAUUCGUGGAUAUUAGAAAGAAUACCAAUUGCGAAGGCAGCUUUCUGGAUCAUUACUGACGCUGAGGAACGAAAGCAUGGGUAGCGAAGAGGAUUAGAUA